GUAGGUGGCAAGCGUUGUCCGGAAUUAUUGGGCGUAAAGCGCGCGCAGGGCGGUUCUUUAAGUCUGAUGUGAAAGCCCACGGCUCAACCGUGGAGGGUCAUUGGAAACUGGAGAACUUGAGUACAGAAGGGGAAAGCGGAAUUCCACGUGUAGCGGUGAAAUGCGUAGAGAUGUGGAGGAACACCAGUGGCGAAGGCGGCUUUCUGGUCUGUAACUGACGCUGAGGCGCGAAAGCGUGGGGAGCAAACAGGAUUAGAUACCCUGGUAGUCCACGCCGUAAACGAUGAGUGCUAAGUGUUAGGGGGGUUUCCGCCCCUUAGUGCUGCAGCUAACGCAUUAAGCACCCCGCCUGGGGAGUACGGCCGCAAGGCUG
This 373-nucleotide ribosomal RNA is filed under the name uncultured organism. RNAcentral's name for it is "partial 16S ribosomal RNA". It matches the Rfam family "Bacterial small subunit ribosomal RNA", at positions 527 to 896 of the family's 1533-position model. The record is from RNAcentral.